RNAcentral lists this non-coding RNA (30 nucleotides) under Rattus norvegicus (Norway rat). The record is from RNAcentral. Lineage: Eukaryota; Metazoa; Chordata; Mammalia; Rodentia; Muridae.
UAGAAAUGAUGAAGCCUACCUACCCUUGGA